UCGCGCUAUGUUGAUUUCUCAUAGCCAGACUGCCUUGUACAGGCAAGAAGGAAGGUGGGGAUGACGUCAAGUCAGCAUGGCCUUUAUGCCCUGGGCUACACACACGCUACAAUGGGUGGGCACAGAGGGUUGCCACGGAGCAAUCCGGAGCGAAUCCCUUAAAACCAUCCUCAGUUCGGAUUGUAGGCUGCAAUCGCCUGCAUGAAGCCGGAGCUGCUAGUAACCGCAGGUCAGCUAUACUGCGGUGAAUACGUUCUCGGGCCUU
RNAcentral lists this ribosomal RNA (265 nucleotides) under uncultured Chloroflexota bacterium. Its description in RNAcentral is "uncultured Chloroflexi bacterium partial 16S ribosomal RNA". It matches the Rfam family "Bacterial small subunit ribosomal RNA", at positions 1105 to 1382 of the family's 1533-position model. The record is from RNAcentral. Lineage: Bacteria; Bacillati; Chloroflexota.